Molecule: microRNA precursor, 61 nt
Filed under: Pristionchus pacificus
Lineage: Eukaryota; Metazoa; Nematoda; Chromadorea; Rhabditida; Neodiplogasteridae
Description: mir-8364 microRNA precursor family
Rfam family: mir-8364 microRNA precursor family
Source: Rfam by way of RNAcentral
UCUUCGUUUCACACACUCUCUCACCGGUCAGAGAGACGAGAGUGUGUGCGAGGUGAAGAGA